UACGAAGGGUGCAAGCGUUACUCGGAAUUACUGGGCGUAAAGCGUGCGUAGGUGGUUUGUUAAGCCUGAUGUGAAAGCCCUGGGCUCAACCUGGGAAUUGCAUUGGAUACUGGCAGGCUAGAGUGCGGUAGAGGAUGGCGGAAUUCCCGGUGUAGCAGUGAAAUGCGUAGAGAUCGGGAGGAACAUCUGUGGCGAAGGCGGCCAUCUGGACCAGCACUGACACUGAGGCACGAAAGCGUGGGGAGCAAACAGG
Molecule: ribosomal RNA, 253 nt
Filed under: uncultured bacterium
Lineage: Bacteria
Description: partial 16S ribosomal RNA
Rfam family: Bacterial small subunit ribosomal RNA
Source: RNAcentral